AACCGUCCGGUGGUCAAGUGGUUAGAGCGUCCGCCUCGGAUGCGGAAGGUUGUGGGUUCGAUCCCCGGUCGAGUCA
This is a non-coding RNA of Potamilus streckersoni, 76 nucleotides long. The record is from the annotation of a GenBank genome assembly. NCBI's taxonomy places the organism in Eukaryota, Metazoa, Mollusca, Bivalvia, Unionida, Unionidae.